RNAcentral lists this ribosomal RNA (383 nucleotides) under Gittenbergeria turriplana. RNAcentral describes it as "partial 16S ribosomal RNA". It matches the Rfam family "Bacterial large subunit ribosomal RNA", at positions 1856 to 2597 of the family's 2925-position model. The record is from RNAcentral. Lineage: Eukaryota; Metazoa; Mollusca; Gastropoda; Stylommatophora; Gittenbergeriidae.
UUCCUGCUCAAUGGAAUCUAAAUAGCCGCAGUAUACUAACUGUGCAAAGGUAGCAUAAUCAAUUGUCUCAUAAUUGGAGUCUAGAAUGAAUGGAAGCAUGAGGUUUAACUGUCUUUUAAAUAUAAAUGAAUUUACUAAACAAGUGAAAAUUCUUGUAGAUACAUAAAAGACGAGAAGACCCUAGAAAUUUUAAUAUACGUUUUUGUUGGGGCGACAGAAUAACAAUAAACUUAUUUUAUAAUAUUAGAAGAUUAUUUUCUGAAAGAAAAAAUUACUCUAGGGAUAACAGCAUAAUUUAUAAUAGUUUGUGACCUCGAUGUUGGACUAGGAUUGCAUAAUUUUAAAAGACUUAUGUUUAUGCUCUGUUCGAGCAAUUAAUUCCU